CUCAGUCUCACAGUGAGGGAAUCAGUGAACCCUAGCUGCCCUCUGAAGUCUGAACCCUAGCCGCCCAGUCGCCCUCCAUCGUCGCCGCGGUCUCGGGUUGUCAGCACCACCGCCGUCGCCUGGUCCUCAGCCCCAGUAGCCCUCCAUCGUCGCCUGGUUCCCUGCCCAGUAGCCCUCCAUCUCCAUCGUCUUCAUCUUCUCAACACCAGUAGCCCUCUCAUCGUCUUCAUCGUCGCGUGGUCCUCAACAUCAGUAGCCCUCCAUCGACCCCAGAUGUUCUCCAAACUGAAAGAAGGAAGAUUUUCCAGAGAAAUAGAGUUGAAAAAUCUGAUUACCAAAAAGAUGGCUAAUUCUAGACUUGCAGAUGGUGUGCCAGAAUUGUGGCCAUAGGUCAUCUACAUUUUGUUAAAGUUAGAAUAGAGAGCACAAAUGAUGGAACUGGACCUGCCUUUGCUUUGUAAAGUAGAGGUUGGUGUAUAGAUAUCAUAGGAAUAUUAUGUUACAAUGUCUUUAGUUGUUUAAAAAUUAGAAUGUGAACUCUAUACUGAAAUGACCAAGUAAUGCUUUUAUUA
Arachis ipaensis is the source of this 572-nucleotide non-coding RNA. NCBI's taxonomy places the organism in Eukaryota, Viridiplantae, Streptophyta, Magnoliopsida, Fabales, Fabaceae. The record is from RefSeq and is a predicted model, not a curated record.